AUGCGGCAUGCUUUACCAUGCAAGUCGACGGCAGCCGGACUUCGGCCUGGUGGCGAGUGGCGAACGGGUGAGUAAUAUAUCGGAACGUACCCAAGAGUGGGGGAUAACGUAGCGAAAGUUACGCUAAUACCGCAUACGAUCUAAGGAUGAAAGCAGGGGACCGCAAGGCCUUGUGCUCCUGGAGCGGCCGAUAUCUGAUUAGCUAGUUGGUGAGGUAAAGGCUCACCAAGGCCACGAUCAGUAGCUGGUCUGAGAGGACGACCAGCCACACUGGAACUGAGACACGGUCCAGACUCCUACGGGAGGCAGCAGUGGGGAAUUUUGGACAAUGGGCGCAAGCCUGAUCCAGCAAUGCCGCGUGAGUGAAGAAGGCCUUCGGGUUGUAAAGCUCUUUUGUCAGGGAAGAAACGGUAGAGGCUAAUAUCCUUUGCUAAUGACGGUACCUGAAGAAUAAGCACCGGCUAACUACGUGCCAGCAGCCGCGGUAAUACGUAGGGUGCAAGCGUUAAUCGGAAUUACUGGGCGUAAAGCGUGCGCAGGCGGUUUUGUAAGUCUGUCGUGAAAGCCCCGGGCUCAACCUGGGAAUUGCGAUGGAGACUGCAAGGCUUGAAUCUGGCAGAGGGGGGUAGAAUUCCACGUGUAGCAGUGAAAUGCGUAGAGAUGUGGAGGAACACCGAUGGCGAAGGCAGCCCCUUGGGUCAAGAUUGACGCUCAUGCACGAAAGCGUGGGGAGCAAACAGGAUUAGAUACCCUGGUAGUCCACGCCCUAAACGAUGUCUAAUAGUUGUCGGGUUUUAAUUAACUUGGUAACGCAGCUAACGCGUGAAGUAGACCGCCUGGGGAGUACGGUCGCAAGAUUAAAACUCAAAGGAAUUGACGGGGACCCGCACAAGCGGUGGAUGAUGUGGAUUAAUUCGAUGCAACGCGAAAAACCUUACCUACCCUUGACAUGUCAGGAAUCCUGGAGAGAUCCGGGAGUGCCCGAAAGGGAACCUGAACACAGGUGCUGCAUGGCUGUCGUCAGCUCGUGUCGUGAGAUGUUGGGUUAAGUCCCGCAACGAGCGCAACCCUUGUCAUUAGUUGCUACAUUUAGUUGAGCACUCUAAUGAGACUGCCGGUGACAAACCGGAGGAAGGUGGGGAUGACGUCAAGUCCUCAUGGCCCUUAUGGGUAGGGCUUCACACGUCAUACAAUGGUACAUACAGAGGGCCGCCAACCCGCGAGGGGGAGCUAAUCCCAGAAAGUGUAUCGUAGUCCGGAUCGCAGUCUGCAACUCGACUGCGUGAAGUUGGAAUCGCUAGUAAUCGCGGAUCAGCAUGUCGCGGUGAAUACGUUCCCGGGUCUUGUACACACCGCCCGUCACACCAUGGGAGCGGGUUUUACCAGAAGUAGGUAGCUUAACCGCAAGGAGGGCGCUAACCACGUAGGAUUGGG
RNAcentral lists this ribosomal RNA (1434 nucleotides) under bacterium. RNAcentral describes it as "bacterial SSU rRNA". It matches the Rfam family "Bacterial small subunit ribosomal RNA". The record is from RNAcentral.